GACGUAGGGGGCGAGCGUUGUCCGGAUUCAUUGGGCGUAAAGAGCGCGUAGGCGGCCCGGAAAGUGGGGUGUGAAAACCCGAGGCUCAACCUCGGGCGUGCAUUCCAAACUCCCGGGCUUGAGGCAGGUAGGGGAGAUCGGAAUUCCUGGUGUAGCGGUGAAAUGCGCAGAUAUCAGGAGGAACACCGGUGGCGAAGGCGGAUCUCUGGGCCUGUUCUGACGCUGAGGCGCGAAAGCUAGGGGAGCGAAUGGG
This 253-nucleotide ribosomal RNA is filed under the name uncultured bacterium. RNAcentral's name for it is "partial 16S ribosomal RNA". It matches the Rfam family "Bacterial small subunit ribosomal RNA", at positions 524 to 776 of the family's 1533-position model. The record is from RNAcentral.